GAUGAACGCUGGCGGCGUGCUUAACACAUGCAAGUCGAACGGAGCUAUGACACGGAGUCUUCGGAUGAAGUGCUGUAGCUUAGUGGCGGACGGGUGAGUAACACGUGAGCAACCUACCUUUUGCAGGGGAAUAACUCUGGGAGACCAGAGCUAAUACCGCAUGCCGUGCGCUUGGGGCAUCCCAGGUGCAUGAAAGGAGCAAUCCGGCAGAAGAUGGGCUCGCGUCCGAUUAGGUAGUUGGAGAGGUAAUGGCUCCCCAAGCCGACGAUCGGUAGCCGGACUGAGAGGUCGAUCGGCCACAUUGGGACUGAGACACGGCCCAGACUCCUACGGGAGGCAGCAGUGGGGAAUAUUGGGCAAUGGGCGGAAGCCUGACCCAGCGACGCCGCGUGAAGGAGGAAGGCUUUCGAGUUGUAAACUUCUUUGGGGAGGGACGAAGAUGACGGUACCUCCAGAACAAGCCACGGCUAACUACGUGCCAGCAGCCGCGGUAAUACGUAGGUGGCGAGCGUUAUCCGGAUUUACUGGGUGUAGGGAGUAUCGACUCUCUCUGUGCCGAAGCAAACGCGAUAAGUAAUCCACCUGGGGAGUACGGCCGCAAGGCUAAAACUCAAAGGAAUUGACGGGGACCCGCACAAGCAGUGGAGUAUGUGGUUUAAUUCGAGGCAACGCGAAGAACCUUACCAGGGAUUGACAUCCUGCGCUAGGCUUGGAGACAGGUUGUUCCUUCGGGACGCAGAGACAGGUGGUGCAUGGUUGUCGUCAGCUCGUGUCGUGAGAUGUUCGGUUAAGUCCGGCAACGAGCGCAACCCUUGUUGUCAGUUACCAUCAUUAAGUUGGGGACUUUGGCGAGACUGCCGUUGACAAAACGGAGGAAGGUGGGGAUGACGUCAAAUCAUCAUGCCCCUUAUAUCCUGGGCUACACACGUACUACAAUGGGCGUUACAGCGGGCAGCCACACCGCGAGGUGGAGCGAAUCCCGAAAGGCGUCCUCAGUUCGGAUUGCAGGCUGCAACUCGCCUGCAUGAAGUCGGAAUUGCUAGUAAUGGCAGGUCAGCAUACUGCCGUGAAUACGUUCCCGGGUCUUGUACACACCGCCCGUCACACCAUGAGAGUCUGUAACACCCGAAGUCAGUAGUCUAACCUGAUUAGAUUAGGGGGACGCUGCCGAAGGUGGGAUAGAUAAUUGGGGUG
This 1194-nucleotide ribosomal RNA is filed under the name uncultured bacterium. RNAcentral describes it as "bacterial SSU rRNA". It matches the Rfam family "Bacterial small subunit ribosomal RNA". The record is from RNAcentral.